UGGCGAACGGGUGAGUAACGCGUGAGUAACCUGCCUUUCAGAGGGGAAUAACGUUCUGAAAAGAACGCUAAUACCGCAUAACGUACAGUUACCGCAUGGUAGCAGUACCAAAGGAGCAAUCCGCUGAAAGAUGGACUCGCGUCCGAUUAGCUAGUUGGUGGGGUAAAGGCCUACCAAGGCGACGAUCGGUAGCCGGACUGAGAGGUUGAACGGCCACAUUGGGACUGAGACACGGCCCAG
This 240-nucleotide ribosomal RNA is filed under the name uncultured bacterium. Its description in RNAcentral is "partial 16S ribosomal RNA". It matches the Rfam family "Bacterial small subunit ribosomal RNA", at positions 96 to 334 of the family's 1533-position model. The record is from RNAcentral.